This is a long non-coding RNA of Prunus persica (peach), 1292 nucleotides long. RefSeq lists it as uncharacterized. The record is from RefSeq and is a predicted model, not a curated record. The transcript is spliced from 3 exons. Lineage: Eukaryota; Viridiplantae; Streptophyta; Magnoliopsida; Rosales; Rosaceae.
CUCUCCUCCCUCUCUCUCUCCCUCCCGCGCGAUUCCGUGACCUCUCUCCCUUCCGAUCGAGACAGCGGCCACCACAGGCCGUCUCGAUCUCCGCCGUUGGUCCCAACAGCUCCGCCACUCACCCGCCGUUCUUCUCCGACCAAUAUCAGCCGCGGGGACGCCUGAAACUGGCCGGAAUCUGCCAUUGACGCCGGUUUCCAGUCGGAACUUCUCUCCUCUCGAUCUCCUUCGUUUCUCCACCAACUUGUUCGAGUAAGGCACCAGAAGUCCAGUCGACCUACAGGAGGGACCUUCAAGAGGUCCAGCUAGCUCGGACCAACUGCCGUAGAAGUAUGCAGGAUCCACCACCGGGCCGUUCUUAGCUUCCGCGCCACCAAUUAAGGUAGAGUUUUGUGGAAAAUCCUUAGAACCCUGAAAAACUCUAGAAAAUGCUCUGAUAUCUAUUUGAAACUGAAAAACUGGAGUUGAGAUCUGUUAUUUGAGAUAUUCUGGCAGUUGGUGUGGACUUAUUUGAUUGUUUAACAGGUGAAAAACUUUUGCUUUGGUCAAAAUUCAGGGGAGGCUCUGCCGAAUUUUCAGCAGAAGUCUAAGGGAAAGUGUAAAAAGAAUUUGAAAUGAGAGGGAUAAAAAGGUCUUUUGUGCCCGACAUUCGCCAGGUGUCGGACACGCACAGGACUUGGCUCAAAUUCCAAAGCGGAAAUUGGGUCGGGUCCUGUCAGUAAUCACUUUAGUAACGGGAUUAAAUUAUGGGCUAUCAACAAAACACUCCUAGAUAUUUGGUUUCAUUCUUAAUAUGGGCCACAAUGUUUCAAUUUCAUCUAUUUACAACUCAUGAUUUUCAAAUUUGACUAAUUUAAGUCUUUCGUUAAGUUGGCUGUUUGUUUAGAUGUUAAUUGAUAACGUGUCCAUUGUGGGACACUAAUUCGUCGGAGAGCCGGAAUUUGGAAGCAAAGUAGAAAUUUUGUUGAGACAUAUCAUAAUUUUUCGGGGUUCAAACUUUGUCUCAAAAGAACAAAAUUCGUCAGGAAAAGUCACAAUUUGUUAGAAGAACAAAAUUCGUUGGAAAAGGGCACGCUUUGUCGGCAAAGAAAUAUCUGGUUGGGGCAUAUCAAAAUUUGUGGGGAAAUAAUUGUCAAGAAGAACAAAAUACGUCGAGAAAGAUCAAUCUUUGUCGGCAAUGAACAAAAUUCGCCGAGACAGGUCAAAAUUUGUCGGGAAAGCCAGAUAACUGCUUGUUUUAAAGAUAAAGCUUAUAUGCCUGUAAAACAGAUGUAUGACCAAGCAGAUCUAGA